This 305-nucleotide ribosomal RNA is filed under the name uncultured bacterium. RNAcentral's name for it is "bacterial SSU rRNA". It matches the Rfam family "Bacterial small subunit ribosomal RNA", at positions 335 to 640 of the family's 1533-position model. The record is from RNAcentral.
UCCCUACGGGGGCAGCAGUGAGGAAUAUUGGUCAAUGGGCGGUAGCCUGAACCAGCCAAGUAGCGUGAAGGAAGACGGCCCUAUGGGUUGUAAACCUCUUUUGUCGGAGAACAAAACCCGGGACGUGUCCCGGACUGCGUGUAUCCGAAGAAAAAGCAUCGGCUAACUCCGUGCCAGCAGCCGCGGUAAUACGGAGGAUGCGAGCGUUAUCCGGAUUUAUUGGGUUUAAAGGGUGCGUAGGCGGUCCGUUAAGUCAGCGGUAAAAUUGCGGGGCUCAACCCCGUCGAGCCGUUGAAACUGGCAGA